GCGAGUUGAACAAUCCCUUCGGGGUGCGUUUGAUGUCGGCGAGUGGCGGACGGGUGAGUAACGCGUAGGAAUCUGCCCAACGGCGGGGGACAGCCCGGAGAAAUUCGGAUUAAUACCGCAUACGCCCUACGGGGGAAAGAUGGCCUCUUCUUGAAAGCUAUCACUGUUGGAUGAGCCUGCGUUAGAUUAGCUUGUUGGUGGGGUAAAGGCCUACCAAGGCGACGAUCUAUAGCUGGUCUGAGAGGAUGAUCAGCCACACUGGGACUGAGACACGGCCCACACUCCUACGGGAGGCAGCAGUGGGGAAUAUUGGACAAUGGGGGCAACCCUGAUCCAGCAAUGCCGCGUGUGUGAAGAAGGCCUUCGGGUUGUAAAGCAUUUUCAAUUGGGAAGAAAAGCGUGUGGUUAAUAGCUGCAUGUUUUGACGGUACCGAUACAAGAAGCACCGGCUAACUCCGUGCCAGCAGCCGCGGUAAUACGGAGGGUGCGAGCGUUAAUCGGAAUUACUGGGCGUAAAGCGCACGCAGGCGGUUUGAUAAGUCAGAUGUGAAAGCCCUGGGCUCAACCUGGGAACUGCGUUUGAUACUGUUGAACUAGAGUAUGGUAGAGAGAAGUGGAAUUCCGCAUGUAGCGGUGAAAUGCGUAGAGAUGCGGGGGAAUAUCGGUGGCGAAGGCGACUUCUUGGACCAAUACUGACGCUCAGGUGCGAAAGCGUGGGUAGCAAACAGGAUUAGAUACCCUGGUAGUCCACGCCGUAAACGAUGUCUACUAGCCGUUGGGGGGCUUGACUUCUUAGUGGCGCAGCUAACGCGAUAAGUAGACCGCCUGGGG
RNAcentral lists this ribosomal RNA (831 nucleotides) under uncultured bacterium. RNAcentral describes it as "bacterial SSU rRNA". It matches the Rfam family "Bacterial small subunit ribosomal RNA", at positions 57 to 878 of the family's 1533-position model. The record is from RNAcentral.